GUCUAUGGCUAUGCCACCCUGAACAAGCCAGAUCCUGUCUGAUCUCAGAAGCUAGGCACAGUCAGGCCUGGUUAGUACUUGCAUGGGAGACUGUCUAGGAAGACCAGGUGCUGUAGGCA
This 119-nucleotide ribosomal RNA is filed under the name Pteropus alecto (black flying fox). Lineage: Eukaryota; Metazoa; Chordata; Mammalia; Chiroptera; Pteropodidae. The record is from RNAcentral.